CAUGGCCAGUCAGUAAGCUUUGUCCAACUAGCAGAGCUGCUCAUUCCUGAACUUGUUGCUAAAACUGUGAUGCUGAAGCAAAAGUUCUUCCUAGACAAUAAAUUACUGGUGAUUCUAUCGCGGGGCUAGAGAUCAGAGUUAUUUCUGUCUACCUCCAGCAAUAUCCAGCAUGGAUACCUGAGGCCUGCCUGAACUCUGCUGCCAAGCUUCAGACCUAAUCUACGCACACUUGCUGUUCCACGCCAGGAUCUGAAUGGUGACCCCACUCUCUUGGGAUCACUGGAAAUCGAGGCUCCCCUCUCCUGUGAUUCCCUGCAGUGGCAGAUUUGCAUAUGGCACAACGCUGAUCCCAACCCAGGAAAUUUGAAUGAGAGUAAAGAUCUGUCCCCAGUCCUGGUGUUUUCCAAGUCUGCUCACCCAGCUACGCCCGGACACAUGGAGCGUCAAAGGCUUCCCUGGAGAGGAGGGGGUUGCUGUGCAAACGUUCUACCAUCAACCACAGAAAAUGUCCUAUGGAAGAUCGAAGGUUGACAAGCCUAAGAUCCUCCCCAGUAGACUGGUCCUCUGAUGAUGGUUCUAAUUCCCUGGUGGCAAACCGCCAUGGGGACAGGAGUGCAGUUUGGUCUCCAUGGACUGCUUUGCUGAGAUGCAGCCAAUGCCUUCUUCAUUAUGAGCCCCACUGCCUAUUAAGACAAUCAAAAGAGGUUUGUCUGGGGGUGCUGCCAGUUUUACUGAUGGAGGAUACACAGGCCUUGAACAGCACUUUUCCAGGCCUUGUUCUCCCUCCAGUUUUCCAAACCUUGUUCUGUGGCUACAGUAGAGCUCCGAGAAGCUGAUAUGAGCUCUUCUGGCCUUGGCUCUUCUUCCUCUUCUAAUAAAGUUGUGAAAUG
This is a long non-coding RNA of Hemicordylus capensis (graceful crag lizard), 890 nucleotides long. RefSeq lists it as uncharacterized. The record is from RefSeq and is a predicted model, not a curated record. The transcript has 4 exons. Lineage: Eukaryota; Metazoa; Chordata; Lepidosauria; Squamata; Cordylidae.